UACGUAGGGGGCAAGCGUUGUCCGGAUUUAUUGGGCGUAAAGAGCGUGUAGGCGGCUUUACAGGUCCGUUGUGAAAACUCGAGGCUCAACCUCGAGACGCCGGUGGAAACCGUAAGGCUAGAGUCCGGAAGAGGAGAGUGGAAUUCCUGGUGUAGCGGUGAAAUGCGCAGAUAUCAGGAAGAACACCCGUGGCGAAGGCGACUACCUGGCCCAUUCUUGACGCUGAGGCGCGAAAGCUAGGGGAGCGAACGGG
Molecule: ribosomal RNA, 253 nt
Filed under: uncultured bacterium
Lineage: Bacteria
Description: partial 16S ribosomal RNA
Rfam family: Bacterial small subunit ribosomal RNA
Source: RNAcentral